Small nuclear RNA from Ochotona princeps (American pika), 96 nucleotides. The record is from Ensembl. Lineage: Eukaryota; Metazoa; Chordata; Mammalia; Lagomorpha; Ochotonidae.
AUGCUCACUUCGGCAGCACUAAACUUGGAGCAAUACAGAUUAGCAGGGCCCUACACAUGGAUGACAUACAAAUAUAUAGAUUAGAUAUAUCAUCUG